RNAcentral lists this ribosomal RNA (483 nucleotides) under uncultured bacterium. RNAcentral describes it as "bacterial SSU rRNA". It matches the Rfam family "Bacterial small subunit ribosomal RNA", at positions 28 to 502 of the family's 1533-position model. The record is from RNAcentral.
GACGAACGCUGGCGGCGUGCCUAACACAUGCAAGUCGAGCGGAGAUACAUUGAAGAUUUAUCGGAUAUGUAUCUUAGCGGCGGACGGGUGAGUAACGCGUGGGCAACCUGCCUCAUACAGGGGGAUAACACUGGGAAACUAGUGCUAAUACCGCAUAAUAUCAUGAUAUGGCAUCAUGUUAUGAUCAAAGGAGCAAUCCGCUAUGAGAUGGGCCCGCGGCGCAUUAGCUAGUUGGUGAGGUAACGGCUCACCAAGGCGACGAUGCGUAGCCGACCUGAGAGGGUGAUCGGCCACAUUGGGACUGAGACACGGCCCAGACUCCUACGGGAGGCAGCAGUGGGGAAUAUUGCACAAUGGGGGAAACCCUGAUGCAGCAACGCCGCGUGAGUGAUGACGGCCUCGGGUUGUAAAGUACGUCUGUCUUCUAGGGUACGAGUAAUAGUACGGUACCGUCGAGGAAGGAAGACCGAACGGCCGUAAACG